UUGGUGGGGUGAUGGCCUACCAAGGCAGUGACGGGUAGCCGGCCUGAGAGGGCGACCGGCCACACUGGGACUGAGACACGGCCCAGACUCCUACGGGAGGCAGCAGUGGGGAAUAUUGCGCAAUGGGCGGAAGCCUGACGCAGCGACGCCGCGUGAGGGAUGACGGUCUUCGGAUUGUAAACCUCUUUCACCCACGACGAAGCGAAAGUGACGGUAGUGGGAGAAGAAGCACCGGCCAACUACGUGCCAGCAGCCGCGGUAAUACGUAGGGUGCAAGCGUUGUCCGGAAUUAUUGGGCGUAAAGAGCUCGUAGGCGGCUUGUCACGUCGACUGUGAAAACCCGGGGCUCAACUCCGGGCCUGCAGUCGAUACGGGCUGGCUUGAGUGCGGUAGGGGAGACUGGAAUUCCUGGUGUAGCGGUGAAAUGCGCAGAUACCAGGAGGAACACCGGUGGCGAAGGCGGGUCUCUGGGCCGUAACUGACGCUGAGGAGCGAAAGCGUGGGGAGCGAACAGGAUUAGAUACCCUGGUAGUCCACGCCGUAAACGUUGGGCGCUAGGUGUGGGGACCUAUCCACGGUCUCCGUGCCGCAGCUAACGCAUUAAGCGCCCCGCCUGGGGAGUACGG
This 626-nucleotide ribosomal RNA is filed under the name uncultured bacterium. RNAcentral's name for it is "bacterial SSU rRNA". It matches the Rfam family "Bacterial small subunit ribosomal RNA", at positions 249 to 885 of the family's 1533-position model. The record is from RNAcentral.